This 2056-nucleotide ribosomal RNA is filed under the name Gennadas capensis. Its description in RNAcentral is "SSU rRNA". It matches the Rfam family "Eukaryotic small subunit ribosomal RNA". Lineage: Eukaryota; Metazoa; Arthropoda; Malacostraca; Decapoda; Benthesicymidae. The record is from RNAcentral.
AGUCAUAUGCUUGUCUCAAAGAUUAAGCCAUGCAUGUCUAAGUACAGGCCGAUCUAAGGCUAAACCGCGGACGGCUCAUUAAAUCAGAUAUAAUUCAUUGGAUCUGUAGUCCCCACUUACUUGGAUAACUGUGGUAAUUCUAGAGCUAAUACAUGCCUUUAGAGACUCUGACAGUAAUGGAAGAGCGCUUUUAUUAGUUCCAAAACCUUUCGGACCUUGGGCCGUAAGACUUGGUGAAUCUAGAUAACCUUUGCUGAGCGCACGUCCUUUUGUGACGGCGCCGCAUCUUGCAAGUGUCUGCCUUAUCAGCUCUCGAUUGUAGGUUAAACGCCUACAAUGGCUAUAACGGGUAACGGGGAAUCAGGGUUCGAUUCCGGAGAGGGAGCCUGAGAAACGGCUACCACAUCUAAGGAAGGCAGCAGGCGCGCAAAUUACCCACUCCCGGCACGGGGAGGUAGUGACGAAAAAUACUGUAGCGAGACUCCAUCGAGGCUUCGCUAUUGGAAUGAGUGCACUUUAAAUCCUUGCACGAGGAUCGAGUGGAGGGCAAGUCUGGUGCCAGCCGCCGCGGUAAUUCCAGCUCCAUUAGCGUAUAUUAAAGUUGUUGCGGUUAAAACGCUCGUAGUUGGCUCUCUGUUCUGGACUGGCGGUGCACCUUAGCGGUGCUACUGUACAGCUCCGAACUAAACACCCGCCGGCUCACCUGGGGUGCUCUUCACCGAGUGUCCCUAGUGGCCGGCACGUUUACCUUGAAAAAAUUAGAGUGCUCAGAGCAGGCUAACCUAACAGCCUGAAUGGUGGUGCAUGGAAUGAUGGAAUAGGACCUCGGUUCUAUUUUGUUGGUUUUAGGAACCCGAGGUAAUGAUUAAGAGAAGCAGACGGGGGCAUUCGUACUGCGACGAUAGAGGUGAAAUUCUUAGACCGUCGCAUGACGAGCUACUGCGAAAGCAUUUGCCAAGGAUGUUUUCAUUAAUCAAGAACGAAAGUUAGAGGUUCGAAGGCGAUCAGAUACCGCCCUAGUUCUAACCAUAAACGAUGCUGACUAGCGAUCCGCCGCAGUUAUUCCCAUGACCCGGCGGGGAGCUUCCGGGAAACCAAAGUAUUUGAGUUCCGGGGGAAGUAUGGUUGCAAAGCUGAAACUUAAAGGAAUUGACGGAAGGGCACCACCAGGAGUGGAGCCUGCGGCUCAAUUUGACUCAACACGGGGAAUCUUACCAGGCCCAGACACUGGAAGGAUUGACAGAUUGAAAGCUCUUUCUCGAUUCGGUGGGUGGUGGUGCAUGGCCGUUCUUAGUUGGUGGAGUGAUUUGUCUGGUUAAUUCCGAUAACGAACGAGACUCUAGCCUAUUAACUAGUCGGUGGAUAUAACAAUACUAUGCCUUUAAAAGCAUAGCAACUAGACCAUGAAAGUAGUUCUUCUGGCUCGGUGGUAGUUGUGUUUGUGAAGGGGGGGUCUGGGUGUGUAAGCCUCUGCGCUGUUGAGCUCCGGCUCUCCUGGUGUAUGCGAACUAUCCUUUUCCUUUUCCGGAGCAUCGCUUCUGCUGCUACUGGCUGUUGGACUGCGUAAUGAAUGGUGUCUAAAUCGCAGCUUCUUCUUAGAGGGAUAAGCGGCAGCAAAUAAAAUACUAGCCGCACGAGAGAUUGAGCCAUAACAGGUCUGUGAUGCCCUUAGAUGUUCUGGGCCGCACGCGCGCUACAAUGGAGAGUUCAACGAGCUCUCCCUGCUCCGACAGGAGUGGGUAACCUGAUUAAAGCUGUCCUUAAAGGGGAUUGAGGCUUGCAACUAUGUCCCAUGAACGAGGAAUUCCCAGUAGGCGCAAUUCACCAGAUUGCACCGAUUUAGUCCCUGCCCUUUGUACACACCGCCCGUCGCUACUACCGAUUGAAUGGUCUAGUGAGGGCAUCGGACUGGCGCUCUUGGAGUGGCCGCUCGUAUCUCUCUAGUGCCCUUCGGGGUCUGAGGUACGGGUGCCGCCUCGAGUCGACGGAAAGAUGUCCGAGCUGGGUCAUUUAGAGGAAGUAAAAGUCGUAACAAGGUUUCCGUAGGUGAACCUGC